UACGUAGGGGGCUAGCGUUGUCCGGAAUUACUGGGCGUAAAGCGCGUGUAGGCGGCCCUGCAAGUCGGAUGUGAAAUCCCACGGCUCAACCGUGGAAGUGCAUUCGAAACUGCAGGGCUAGAGUCCUGGAGAGGAAGGUGGAAUGCUUGGUGUAGAGGUGAAAUUCGUAGAUAUCAAGCGGAACACCGGUGGCGAAGGCGGCCUUCUGGACAGUGACUGACGCUGAGACGCGAAAGCGUGGGGAGCAAACAGG
This 253-nucleotide ribosomal RNA is filed under the name uncultured bacterium. RNAcentral's name for it is "partial 16S ribosomal RNA". It matches the Rfam family "Bacterial small subunit ribosomal RNA", at positions 524 to 776 of the family's 1533-position model. The record is from RNAcentral.